AGUGAACGCUGGCGGUAGGCCUAACACAUGCAAGUCGAACGGCAGCACAGUAAGAGCUUGCUCUUACGGGUGGCGAGUGGCGGACGGGUGAGGAAUACAUCGGAAUCUACUUUUUCUUGGGGGAUAACGUAGGGAAACUUACGCUAAUACCGCAUACGACCUACGGGUGAAAGCAGGGGAUCUUCGGACCUUGCGCGAUUGAAUGAGCCGAUGUCGGAUUAGCUAGUUGGCGGGGUAAAGGCCCACCAAGGCGACGAUCCGUAGCUGGUCUGAGAGGAUGAUCAGCCACACUGGAACUGAGACACGGUCCAGACUCCUACGGGAGGCAGCAGUGGGGAAUAUUGGACAAUGGGCGCAAGCCUGAUCCAGCCAUACCGCGUGGGUGAAGAAGGCCUUCGGGUUGUAAAGCCCUUUUGUUGGGAAAGAAAAGCAGCAGGUUAAUACCCCGCUGUUCUGAAGGUACCCAAAGCAUAAGCACCGGCUAACUUCGUG
Molecule: ribosomal RNA, 492 nt
Filed under: uncultured bacterium
Lineage: Bacteria
Description: partial 16S ribosomal RNA
Rfam family: Bacterial small subunit ribosomal RNA
Source: RNAcentral